AAAUGAAAAAUGAAAAAAAGAAAAGAAAAAGAAAAAGCAAUACAAAAAGGCCUGAACCGAAAAAAAAACAAAAAGAGAUCAAACGGUCAGGUGGAUAAUGAUUGCCAAGGGAUAUUGAAAAAAGAAUAAGUUGCAGGAACCUCUGAUUCUGAUGCCUCUCGUGGAAGGAACAACUGUUAAUCUGGUACUUGACAGCCCUCGAGGGGUUUAUGAGGUGUGUAUUGGGUCAGCAUGAC
RNAcentral lists this long non-coding RNA (236 nucleotides) under Lathyrus oleraceus (garden pea). RNAcentral describes it as "Pisum sativum (pea) long non-coding RNA (PSAT_LNC042052)". Lineage: Eukaryota; Viridiplantae; Streptophyta; Magnoliopsida; Fabales; Fabaceae. The record is from RNAcentral.